This 482-nucleotide ribosomal RNA is filed under the name uncultured bacterium. RNAcentral describes it as "partial 16S ribosomal RNA". It matches the Rfam family "Bacterial small subunit ribosomal RNA", at positions 30 to 507 of the family's 1533-position model. The record is from RNAcentral.
AUUGAACGCUGGCGGCAGGCCUAACACAUGCAAGUCGAGCGGAUGAAGGGAGCUUGCUCCUGGAUUCAGCGGCGGACGGGUGAGUAAUGCCUAGGAAUCUGCCUGGUAGUGGGGGAUAACGUCCGGAAACGGGCGCUAAUACCGCAUACGUCCUGAGGGAGAAAGUGGGGGAUCUUCGGACCUCACGCUAUCAGAUGAGCCUAGGUCGGAUUAGCUAGUUGGCGGGGUAAAGGCCUACCAAGGCGACGAUCCGUAACUGGUCUGAGAGGAUGAUCAGUCACACUGGAACUGAGACACGGUCCAGACUCCUACGGGAGGCAGCAGUGGGGAAUAGUGGACAAUGGGCGAAAGCCUGAUCCAGCCAUGCCGCGUGUGAAGAAGGUCUUCGGAUUGUAAAGCACUUUAAGUUGGGAGGAAGGGCAGUAAGUUAAUACCUUGCUGUUUUGACGUUACCAACAGAAUAAGCACCGGCUAACUUCGUG